CCUACGGGAGGCUGCAGUGAGGAAUAUUGGUCAAUGGGCGCGAGCCUGAACCAGCCAAGUCGCGUGAGGGAGGACGGCCCUACGGGUUGUAAACCUCUUUUGCCGGGGAGCAACGGGCGCCACGUGUGGCGUCACUGAGAGUACCCGGAGAAAACGCAUCGGCUAACUCCGUGCCAGCAGCCGCGGUAAUACGGAGGCUGCGAGCGUUAUCCGGAUUUAUUGGGUUUAAAGGGUGCGUAGGAGGAUCGUUAAGUCAGUGGUCAAAUUGAGGGGCUCAACCCCUUCCCGCCAUUGAAACUGGCGUUCAUGAGUGGAAGAGAAGUAUGCGGAAUGCGUGGUGUAGCGGUGAAAUGCAUAGAGAUCACGCAGAACCCCGAUUGCGAAGGCAGCAUGCCGGCUUCCGACUGACGCUGAAGCACGAAAGCGUGGGGAUCGAACAGGAGUAGAUACCCCUGUAGUC
This 460-nucleotide ribosomal RNA is filed under the name uncultured bacterium. RNAcentral describes it as "partial 16S ribosomal RNA". It matches the Rfam family "Bacterial small subunit ribosomal RNA", at positions 338 to 795 of the family's 1533-position model. The record is from RNAcentral.